Molecule: transfer RNA, 97 nt
Filed under: Actinomycetota bacterium
Lineage: Bacteria; Bacillati; Actinomycetota
Description: tRNA-Phe
Source: RNAcentral
GGUCAGUGCCAUACCGCACCGGCCCCCACAACCCCGAAACAUGACACCCCUCCGACUGAAAAUCGGAAGGUCGGCGGUUCGACCCCGCCCCUGACCA